This 486-nucleotide ribosomal RNA is filed under the name uncultured bacterium. Its description in RNAcentral is "partial 16S ribosomal RNA". It matches the Rfam family "Bacterial small subunit ribosomal RNA", at positions 29 to 523 of the family's 1533-position model. The record is from RNAcentral.
AGUGAACGCUGGCGGCGUGCUUAACACAUGCAAGUCGAACGAGAACGGAAUAUAGCUUGCUAUAUUUGUCAGCUAAGUGGCGCACGGGUGAGUAAUGUAUAGAUAACCUGCCCUUAAGAAAGGAAUAACAGUUGGAAACGACUGCUAAUGCCCUAUAUUCCUUUAAUACAUAAGUAUGCAAGGGAAACGCGUUAGGUGCUGAAGGAUGGGUCGGAAUGGUAUCAGCUUGUUGGUGAGGUAAUGGCUCACCAAGGCUAUGACGCCUAACUGGUUUGAAAGGAUGAUGCGUCACACUGGAAAUGAGACACGGUCCAGACUCCUACGGGAGGCAGCAGUGGGGAAUAUUGCACGAUGGACGAAAGUCUGAUGCAGCAACGCCGCGUGGAGGAUGACACAUUUCGGUGCGUAAACUCCUUUUAUAUAGGAAGAUAAUGACGGUACUAUAUGAAUAAGCACCGGCUAACUCCGUGCCAGCAGCCGCAGUAA